CGUUAAUCGGAAUUACGUGGGACGUAAAGCGCAUGCAGGUGGUUUAGUUAAGUCAGAUGUAGAAAACGGCCCGGGGCUACAACCGUACGGUAAUUGCUAUUUAGAAACGUGGACAAACUAGAGUACUGUAGAGGGGGUAGAAUUUCAGGUGUAGCGGUGAAAUGCGUAGAGAUCUGAAGGAAUACCGGUGGCGAAGGCGGCCCCCUGGACAGAUACUGACACUCAGAUGCGAAAGCGUGGGGAGCAAACAGGAUUAGAUACCCUGGUAG
RNAcentral lists this ribosomal RNA (269 nucleotides) under uncultured bacterium. RNAcentral's name for it is "partial 16S ribosomal RNA". It matches the Rfam family "Bacterial small subunit ribosomal RNA", at positions 539 to 793 of the family's 1533-position model. The record is from RNAcentral.